Molecule: ribosomal RNA, 388 nt
Filed under: uncultured bacterium
Lineage: Bacteria
Description: bacterial SSU rRNA
Rfam family: Bacterial small subunit ribosomal RNA
Source: RNAcentral
GACGAACGCUGGCGGCGUGCUUAACACAUGCAAGUCGAGCGGUAAGGCUCCUUCGGGAGUACACGAGCGGCGAACGGGUGAGUAACACGCGAGCAAUCUGCCCUUCACUUUGGGAUAAGCACCGGAAACGGUGUCUAAUACCGAAUACGACCACUUCCGGCAUCGGAUGGUGGUGGAAAAGUUCCGGCGGUGAAGGAUGAGCUCGCGGCCUAUCAGCUUGUUGGUGGGGUAACGGCCCACCAAGGCUUCGACGGGUAGCCGGCCUGAGAGGGUGACCGGCCACACUGGGACUGAGACACGGCCCAGACUCCUACGGGAGGCAGCAGUGGGGAAUAUUGGACAAUGGGCGAAAGCCUGAUCCAGCAACGCCGCGUGAGGGAUGACGGCC